This 253-nucleotide ribosomal RNA is filed under the name uncultured bacterium. RNAcentral describes it as "partial 16S ribosomal RNA". It matches the Rfam family "Bacterial small subunit ribosomal RNA", at positions 524 to 776 of the family's 1533-position model. The record is from RNAcentral.
UACAGAGGGUGCGAGCGUUAAUCGGAAUUACUGGGCGUAAAGCGUGCGUAGACGGUUGCGUAAGUCGGAUGUGAAAUCCCCGGGCUCAACCUGGGAAUUGCAUUCGAGACUGCGUAGCUGGGGUGCGGAAGAGGGAAGCGGAAUUUCCGGUGUAGCGGUGAAAUGCGUAGAUAUCGGAAGGAACAUCAGUGGCGAAAGCGGCUUCCUGGUCCAGCACCGACGUUCAGGCACGAAAGCGUGGGGAGCAAACGGG